GAGGUGGGAGGAUCACUUGAGCCUGAGAGGUUGAGGCUGGAGUGAGCUGUGAUUGUACCAUUGCACUCCAGCCUGAGUGACAGAGCAAGACCCUGUCUC
MicroRNA precursor from Colobus angolensis palliatus, 99 nucleotides. Lineage: Eukaryota; Metazoa; Chordata; Mammalia; Primates; Cercopithecidae. The record is from Ensembl.